Molecule: RNA transcript, 3670 nt
Organism: Magallana angulata
Lineage: Eukaryota; Metazoa; Mollusca; Bivalvia; Ostreida; Ostreidae
Exons: 8
Source: RefSeq, a predicted model, not a curated record
UUUACUUUUUCAUUUGGUGAAAUCACGUCGUAGCGAUCGUGAAGUAUAUUGGCCCACGUUGUUAGAUAAGCAGACUUGCGGUUCUGUGAUGGAAAAUUUAUUUUGAAACGUCCUAAUUGAGAGAAUGUCUAAGCUUCUGAAGAGCUAUUUUCGAGUUUUGGAGAAGCAUCCAUUGAUUACGAUGUCAUGUACCACAGGCACCUUAAUGGCCACAGGAGAUGCAAUAUCACAACUGGUAGUAGAGAGGACACAUAAAUUUGAUGUAGUUCGUAAUGGGAGAUUUCUAGUCUUUGGUGUAUUUAUAGGGGGUCCAAUGUUCAGGGGAUGGUACUAUUCUAUAGACAAGAUAUUUGGCAAAACCAAGUAUGCACCAAUGAAAAUGAUGAUAGCAGACCAGGGAGCUUUUGCACCUGUAUUCUUGCCAUUUUUCCUUUUCACCAUGGGAGUAAUGAGACAGGACCCAGUACAUGAAAUUAUAGAAAAAAUCAAGAAGGAUUAUUAUGAUGUCAUAACAACAAACUGGAAGAUAUGGCCAGCUGCUCAGAUAAUAAAUUUUACCUUUGUUCCUCUACAACACAGAAUUUUGGUAGUUAACAUUGUGUCUAUUGGCUGGAACUGCUACAUGGCCUGGAUCUCGGAGAAGGAACACGAGGAUGUGGUCCUACACCAUCACGAGCCCGACGCCGAGCAAAAAGUUGCCUCCCCAUCCGCCCCUCUGUCACCACAUAGAUCCGCUACCUGCUCAAAGAAAGAGAGAUGAAAAUCACCCGCCUUAUUACAUAAUUUAAUGUAAUCAGUAUGUGAUUUUUAAAUAGAUUCGAACCAGAUUUCUUUUUCUUCUCGAGGGAACAGAUUUAUCGUGGAUACUUAACUCAAGUUGCACAUUAAUGCAGUAAUUUUGUGGUUUGGACCAAACAAUAUUACUUUAUAAUGAAACUCAUACUGAUGCGUGAAUUUGUCGUCAUAUCUACACUGAAAUGAUAUGAAGUUGUUAUUAUAUACCGGUAUUGAAAGUGCUGACUUAUGUUAUACUUAUAGCAAGAUUUCUGUAGUUUGGAGAGAGUUUAUUUUUGGCAUUCACACUUUUAAUGGAGGUUCAAGCUUAUGUUUAAAAAAAACCGUGAACAUAUCAUAUGGUUGAUUUGAAAAAACAUAUAAUAUUGAAAAAUCCCCAAUGACCAUCCAAGCUUGGGGUGGAUUUUCAAAUGCUAGUAUAACGGCGAAACAUUUAAAGAUACGCAUUUAAUGAUAAUAUGCUUACCUGUUUAUAAUGUUUUCAACUUUUUAAGGAGUUAAUACUCAGAAAUAUAAACUAGUGCUCAAGCAGUCAAUAUGAAAUAAGCAUGGAGGAAAUAUAUAUUAAAUUUAAAGGAGUGUAUGCUUCUCUAACUUUUUAAGGAGUUAAUACUCAGAAAUAUAAACUAGUGCUCAAGCAGUCAAUAUGAAAUAAGCAUGGAGGAAAUAUAUAUUAAAUUUAAAGGAGUGUGUGCUUCUUCUGAAAUUGAUGCUAUAUGUUAUUUCCCCACACGGCAGGCACGUAGCAUCCCCACCGUUUGGGGAGCAUAUGUAAAAAAUUGAAGUGAAAGGAAGGAAUUAAGUGUGAAAUUAAAGUUUAAGGUACACAACAGCAGCAACACAAAAACAACAAUCCCAACAAGGAUUUUGGGAUUUGAUAUUUUUUUUAUCAUUUUUUUAAUCAUUAUUGUUACUUUUUUUUUUUGCUUGUCAAGAUUUUUUAAUGAGUAUGCCCCCAUCCCCUUUCCGCUUUCAAAAACGAUUCUACGUGCUUGCACAGUGUUGUUAAUUAGGAGGCAUUCAUAGCUCGAGCACGUGUAUUUUCUAGUCCAAAUUAACUGCCUUUAGUUUAGAAUUGGUCAAUUGGAACAUCGCUCGGCCUUUUCCAUCAAAUCGACUUGUCAGAGAAGGCCAAGCGAUGUUCCGAUUGUAAUUUAAAGGGACCUGGACACGAUUUCAGAUGAAAAUUUUAUUUUUGAUUUCUAUGUAUAAAAAAGUUACUUAUUAUUUUGAAUGAUUCGCCAAAAUGUGGAUGCUACAAGUCACGUUACAAGCGAGAUACAGGGGAAAAAAUUCGUUAUGUAAACAAAGCUCGAGUCUUAUAUUUGUUUACGAAUACUGUAAAGUAAAGAAAUUGCCAUUUCUUUAUCAAAAUAACUUGUGUAAACAAGACAGACUGAUUCACUAGGUUCAUAAAAAAUUUCAUUACAAAAAACAGCAACAUUAGAUUGAACUUUAUACCAGUACAACAAAUAUGUAAAUAUUAGCAGGACUCUAGCUUUGUUUACAAAACAAAGAAUUCUUACCUCUGCAACUCGCUUGUAACUCGAUAUUUGACUUUCAAAUUUUGUCAAACUAUUAAAAACAUCUAUAUUAAUAAUUCGAGACAAAAAUGUUGAAAAAAAUAAAUUUUGACAAUGUUGAGCUCAAAUCGUAUCCAAGUCCUUUAAAGGUGUUUUCUUAAGGUUGUCAAAUCCGAUUAAAAUUUAAAAUUACUUGUUCUGAUACGCGGUAUAGCUUAUUAAAACAGUUUUGAUUAAAUUGAAGGUUGUACAGUUUUGCCUCCAGCGAAUUUCGUUGAAAUCAUUUUCAAACGUUUUUUUCACAUGAGACACAAAUACUCCUAUUUAUUUAGGACUAUUACGAAGAGAUAUUAAAAGGAAAACUCAAUUUAACUUCAUGUACAUGUAUGUUGGUGCUUUUACAUUAAUUCUAGAUUUAUAUUUUUAAAAGUGUUGUUUUAUUCCUUGUAUUUUGUACUGUGUGCAGUUUCAUUAUCUAUUGCUUACAAUGUUACGAGGAAGUACAUGUAGAAGAAAAAACCAUAUAUAUAUAUAUAUAUAUAUAUAUAUAUAUAUAUAUAUAUAUAUAUAUUUGUGAAAGGUCACACAGUAUAAAUAAUCAAAAAAGAAAAUGAACAAUUCCAAAGUGUCUAUUCACUUAAUAAAAACUUUGGAACUGUUCAUUUUCUUUUUCAUUUUUUAUUUUAUAUAUAUGUUUUUUAUUGGACUAAAAUGUUAGUUAUAGCCUUGAAUUUAAAUUUUGUUUGUUCAUUUUGUUAACAUUUCUUUUUUUUCAUAACAUCUAUUUUGAUUAUUUUAAAAUGAGUAAUUGAAUGGUCACGGCAGACCAUCCCAUCCAGCCACUGAUUGUUUGAAUUUUUAAGAUUAUGUAUUUUUUUUUUUGGUAUUCAAAAGUCGACGUAAUAUAUAUAGACUGAAAAUAUGGUCGACUUAAUCAUAGUUGAUUAAAAAUGAAUUAAAAUUCAAAACUAUAGAUGCCCUUCUCAAAUGAUCUGAUUUUUUAAUUUCGUUUACAUAGCAAAGAAUGUUAUCCGUGGGCAAAACAACAAAUAUUGUUGGGUGUUAUCUUUUAUGUUGGUCCAUAAAUUUAUGUUUGUUUUCCAUUAUAUUUAUAGGGCUCAUAUUGAGCUGCUUACUUUUGAUACUCUUUUAUUUUCAUGUAUUUAUUUUUAUUAUUUAAGCAUAAUAUUGUGUAACUUUCACAAUUUUUGAUGCGGGUGAAUACACGGGAUGAGUGUUGUGUAAUUGUGAGUUUACCAUCUAACUUGUAUACCGAGUAUUAUGCUCAUUUUUGUUUAAGUCUUCACUUACAUGCAAGUUCCCCAAUACGAUUAAAGUAUGCUAUUAUCUGA